This 214-nucleotide long non-coding RNA is filed under the name Sorghum bicolor (sorghum). RNAcentral's name for it is "long non-coding RNA (SBIC_LNC010615)". The record is from RNAcentral. Lineage: Eukaryota; Viridiplantae; Streptophyta; Magnoliopsida; Poales; Poaceae.
UACUAGGAUAAACAAAGGUAACAUGAUGGCAUUUAUAAAGAUCUACUCAAGUGGAGAUGAAGUAGUGUGAUUAGAAUUUAUCAAAUUGAGCAUGUCUUAAAGGUAGGGACAACCAACAUAGCAACAUGUCAAAGGAUGUUUUUAUGUAAGGUACUCCCCCAAGCUUGAAUUUUGCAAAAUUCAAGUUUGGAUGAAUUUAAUUCAAUGUUGUAUG